Molecule: transfer-messenger RNA, 383 nt
Filed under: Candidatus Nomurabacteria bacterium
Lineage: Bacteria; Candidatus Nomuraibacteriota
Rfam family: transfer-messenger RNA
About the family: Bacterial tmRNA, also known as 10Sa RNA or SsrA, is named for its dual tRNA and mRNA-like properties. Its role is to liberate the mRNA from a stalled ribosome. To accomplish this part of the tmRNA is used as a reading frame that ends in a translation stop signal.
Source: RNAcentral
GGGGCUGAUACAGCUUUCGACAGACGAAACUUAAUAGAUUGAUUGGCGAGCCGUUGACAACGUUAAGUCAUUUAGAUGUAAAAUCUAACGUUUUAGCAACAGUCCGAAGCAUUUUUGCUUUCCCGACUUUUGCGCUAGUCGCUGCUUAAUUUCGGCGACCGUUUAUAUUUUCGAGCCAACAUACAAAAUAUAAGCGUUAUAAUCAUGUUGGUCGCAUUGUGUGUUUCUUAUUUUUCUAAGCAAUGUUAAAUUUUAAAAAAUGAGCUUGGUUGUGAUUUUUGUUUGUUUUCGUAACAAUCCGAGUAUUUAAAAAUUAACUAGGCUUCGUAGAUAAUCAAUUUAUUGUCGUUUGGACGCGGGGGCAGUACCCGCCAGCUCCACCA